UUUUAUUUGAGAGUUUGAUCCUGGCUCAGGAUGAACGCUGGCGGCGUGCCUAACACAUGCAAGUUGAGCGAUUUACUUCGGUAAAGAGCGGCGGACGGGUGAGUAACGCGUGGGUAACCUCCCCUGUACACACGGAUAACAUACCGAAAGGUAUGCUAAUACGGGAUAAUAUAUUUGAGAGGCAUCUCUUGAAUAUCAAAGGUGAGCCAGUACAGGAUGGACCCGCGUCUGAUUAGCUAGUUGGUAAGGUAACGGCUUACCAAGGCGACGAUCAGUAGCCGACCUGAGAGGGUGAUCGGCCACAUU
Molecule: ribosomal RNA, 306 nt
Filed under: Clostridioides difficile
Lineage: Bacteria; Bacillati; Bacillota; Clostridia; Peptostreptococcales; Peptostreptococcaceae
Description: partial 16S ribosomal RNA
Rfam family: Bacterial small subunit ribosomal RNA
Source: RNAcentral